Molecule: ribosomal RNA, 321 nt
Filed under: uncultured Chytridiales
Lineage: Eukaryota; Fungi; Chytridiomycota; Chytridiomycetes; Chytridiales
Description: eukaryotic LSU rRNA
Rfam family: 5.8S ribosomal RNA (bases 1-81)
Source: RNAcentral
AGCGACUAGCGUGAAUCAUCGAAUCUUUGAACGCAAAUUGCGCUUUUGGGCAUUCCUAAAAGCAUAUUUAUUUCAGUAUCAUUUCUAUUUAUUUCUUUCUAUUUUAUUAUUAUUAUUAUUAUAGUAAAGAGAUGUAUUGAAUGUAUUCAUCCUUAACUUCUUUGAAGUAUAAAGGAACAUUUAAAAUGAAUUUAUAAUUAUAUUUUAAAUCAAUAUCAAAGAUGUGUUAAUCUAAUUACCAUUUUUCAUAUAACAACAUAUAUUUUGAUCUGAAAUUAAAUAAGAUUACCCGCUGAACUUAAGCAUAUCAAUAAGCGGAGG